Molecule: ribosomal RNA, 496 nt
Filed under: uncultured bacterium
Lineage: Bacteria
Description: partial 16S ribosomal RNA
Rfam family: Bacterial small subunit ribosomal RNA
Source: RNAcentral
AUGAACGCUGGCGGCGUGCCUAAUACAUGCAAGUCGAGCGAACGGACGAGAAGCUUGCUUCUCUGAUGUUAGCGGCGGACGGGUGAGUAACACGUGGAUAACCUACCUAUAAGACUGGGAUAACUUCGGGAAACCGGAGCUAAUACCGGAUGAUAUUUUGAACCGCAUGGUUCAAAAGUGAAAGACGGUCUUGCUGUCACUUAUAGAUGGAUCCGCGCUGCAUUAGCUAGUUGGUAAGGUAACGGCUUACCAAGGCAACGAUGCAUAGCCGACCUGAGAGGGUGAUCGGCCACACUGGAACUGAGACACGGUCCAGACUCCUACGGGAGGCAGCAGUAGGGAAUCUUCCGCAAUGGGCGAAAGCCUGACGGAGCAACGCCGCGUGAGUGAUGAAGGUCUUCGGAUCGUAAAACUCUGUUAUUAGGGAAGAACAUAUAUGUAAGUAACUGUGCACAUCUUGACGGUACCUAAUCAGAAAGCCACGGCUAACUACGUG